RNAcentral lists this ribosomal RNA (412 nucleotides) under uncultured bacterium. Its description in RNAcentral is "bacterial SSU rRNA". It matches the Rfam family "Bacterial small subunit ribosomal RNA", at positions 791 to 1205 of the family's 1533-position model. The record is from RNAcentral.
UAGUCCACGCUGUAAACGAUGGUCACUCGAUAUACGCCCCUUGAGGGUGUGUGUCCUAGCGAAAGCGUUAAGUGACCCACCUGGGGAGUACGUUCGCAAGAAUGAAACUUAAAGGAAUUGACGGGGUCCGCACAAGCGGUGGAGCAUGUGGUUUAAUUCGAUACUACGCGAGGAACCUUACCUAGGCUUUAAUGUAGGUUGACUCAUUGAGGAAUCAGUGUUUCCGCAAGGACAACCUACAAGGUGCUGCAUGGCUGUCGUCAGCUCGUGCCGUGAGGUGUUUGGUUAAGUCCUAUAACGAGCGCAACCCUUAUGCUUAGUUGCCAGCACGUAAUGGUGGGAACUCUAAGCAAACUGCCUGUGAAAGCAGCGAGGAAGGGAAGGGAUGAGGUCAAGUCAUCAUGGCCCUUAU